CUUGAAGGAAUUGUAAAGCGGGAUGAGAAGUGUCGCAAAAGAAUCAAUUCUGCUGGUAUCGAUUACGAGUGUCCAGCCCCUGUAAGUAACACUUGAUGCUAUUCAUUGAUUUAAUAAAUUGAUCUUACUUCAUCAGAUUUGAAUUAGCUCAGCAAUUUGCCACAUAAUUGUAAUUGUAUUAAGAAAAUUUCAACUUUUUGUUGACCUGGAGCAAAAGGCAUGCAAUUGUAGUGCCCUAGAGCCAAAUUUGCAUGUGUUACUGUGUAGGUCCUUGAUAUUUAUAGUACUGGUUGUUUAUUCUUAUCUACAUUUGCUUACUGAAAUAAUUUAUGUAUUGGCACCAAGGUUCGUCCCAGGCUUUGCUUAACCAUAUUUUGAGUUGUGCUUCAAUUGUUUUUCGUUUCAUGCCGUAUGUGGCAGUUACUCUCUGGAGAUAAGUUGUACCGAAUAAACAGUUCAGAAUUGAUCACUACAUUAGCUCCAUGUAAUCUCAUGUAAAAAUGCAGCUCCAUGACCCGCUUGAAAGAGAGGAGAAGGGUUGCCUCCCGUCCGUCUCAUCCCAUCCCCUUGUGCCAGCCAUGAAAGAGAGGAGGGAGAGCUGAAAUGAGCGUGGUGGCAAUGCGCCGAUGCUGGCCGGUUGAGGCAUGGUCGACGUGUCAGUCAAGGGGUCCCUCGGCCAUGGAAUAGUUGUGAGGGAGAGCACCCCUUUAGCGCCUCUCCGCAUAGUUCUUCCUUCCCCUACCGCCGGUCAACAGUUUGAUAUCCUUGUCCAAGGCCGGUGUGUACAGUUUCAGCCUCGUUCCCAUGGAUGGCAAAGUCUGUCUUGUCAUGAUGCGCAGGUACACACAUAGGCAUACCAAAAUCGUUAUUGAUUUAUCCAUACAGUUUCAUGUCCAGAUUGACAUUUAUUUGGGGGAAGUGCUAUUGAUUUAUUUUAUUCAGCGCCACGAGUGUUCAGUGUUGAUUUUGUGGGCAGGCGUUUUAGUGAGCUAGCAAGGGGGCGUAGUGGAUCUGUCAUCAUUUUGUUUAAAAUGGUUGAAAGAUGUUCAACGUUGGCUCUAUACUCAAGUCUGAUAUAUCUUGUAUUUAUUCUAUAGUUAAGUACAGUAGUUUCAGAUUCUUUUACAAGUGCUUCAUGAUUUUACCUUGUGUGCAGAAAUCUUCUAAGUUGCCGCUGAAGGGAGAAGACAUGGGGUCGGAAAAAUGUUAAGAUUGACUUGAUGUGUGGUAAGGAAAAGUCAGUCGAAAAGUUUUUGAUGCUUGAGCAUUCACUACUCAGUUAUUCUUUUAGGUACGCAUAAUCUUCCAAGUUAUAAUCAAUUCCUUUUAUUUGGGCACGCAUAAUGACCAUUCCUCGGCAUCAAGUUCUUCUGGUUAGUAAUUAAUACUCCCUUCCCAUAUGGAUUUUCAUGAUGGUUGUUCAUUUUUUGGGAUAGCUUACCAGGCUUAUGCCUUGAAA
This 1459-nucleotide long non-coding RNA is filed under the name Triticum aestivum (bread wheat). RNAcentral's name for it is "long non-coding RNA (TAES_LNC019503)". The record is from RNAcentral. Lineage: Eukaryota; Viridiplantae; Streptophyta; Magnoliopsida; Poales; Poaceae.